ACUUGAAGUCAGGUUUUCUUCCGUCCUGAUGCUUCCAUCUCACAUAUGGGCAGUUUAACAGCAAGAAGCCACGUCCGGGCAACACGGAAGUUCUCACAAAGAGGCGUCUAGAACCUCCACUACGUGAAGUUCAAAGCGAGAAAAUAUUUUAUCUGCUGAAUGAUUAAUUCCAAAAGAAAGAAGCAAAUUACCAAGAUCAAGAGUACCAGAGACCGUGGGUGCUGGGGCUCUUGUCCAUGGAAAAUGCAUGAAGCACAGACGCUGUGCCGGUGACCCUAGCUUCCAGUGUCUUCUGCUUGCUUCCUGAGUCUCGCCUGAGUCUGGUGACAUAUUUUGAUGUAUUAAUAUUUCUGGAAUUCUGCAUAAUGGAUGAGUUGCAGAGCGUGAUGGAAGAGGAAUCAGAGGACACCCAUCUCCACGGUACGCACACUCUGGGCCCAAGAUUGCUAAUUCUGACGUCCAAUCUGCCAUUUGAUACCAGCAGUGUGAGUUGUCAACACAAAUAAUAAAUUGACAGACAGGAGGAGGAGCUGGCUCACGUCUCUGGAGGAAGUUUCCAGACACCGAUUGCUGCAUGAAUUUGCAUCAAGACUGAACAGCAGGAGACGAUUCCCCCAAGCUCCUGGUCACUGGACUCAGGCAGGGGACAGACUCCUUGACUGGUCUUUCUGAGGCCCUUGAGUGCAAUCCUCGUGGCAGUACCUGCGGGGAAGACGCUGAGGCUGUGGUGAAGGAAGACUGCAGGUGGUCUAUUCUCAGCUGACCCUCCUGGGUGUCUCUGGACCCCAUAUCAGACUUCGUUGCCACACACCCAUUAUAGAAGUUUAAGGAAUUUUGAGGUAAGCAUGAGAGCAUUAGCAGGCUCAUUAGCCUGCUUCCUGAGUCAGCUGUCAACAUUCUGCCUUCAAAUUCAAGAUGAAUGAAAACAGAACAUGAGCGGAAAGACUUGUGAUCGACUGGGGAGGUGGACAUU
Long non-coding RNA from Bos taurus (domestic cattle), 973 nucleotides. The record is from Ensembl. Lineage: Eukaryota; Metazoa; Chordata; Mammalia; Artiodactyla; Bovidae.